UGGGGAAUAUUUCGCAAUGGGCGAAAGCCUGACGAAGCAACGCCGCGUGGAGGAUGAAGGCCUUCGGGUCGUAAACUCCUGUCGACCGGGACGAAAGUAGUCCGACCUAAUACGUCAGGCUAUCGACUGUACCGGUGGAGGAAGCCACGGCUAACUCUGUGCCAGCAGCCGCGGUAAUACAGAGGUGGCAAGCGUUGUUCGGAAUUACUGGGCGUAAAGGGCGCGUAGGCGGCCUCGCAAGUCCCGUGUGAAAUCCCUCGGCUCAACUGAGGAAUGGCACGGGAAACUGCGGGGCUUGAGUUCGGGAGAGGGAAGCGGAAUUCCGGGUGUAGCGGUGAAAUGCGUAGAUAUCCGGAGGAACACCGGUGGCGAAGGCGGCUUCCUGGACCGAUACUGACGCUGAGGCGCGAAAGCUAGGGGAGCAAACGG
RNAcentral lists this ribosomal RNA (429 nucleotides) under uncultured bacterium. RNAcentral's name for it is "bacterial SSU rRNA". It matches the Rfam family "Bacterial small subunit ribosomal RNA", at positions 355 to 775 of the family's 1533-position model. The record is from RNAcentral.